GCAGUCGCCACGGUAAUACGUAGGGUGCAAGCGUUAAUCGGAAUUACUGGGCGUAAAGCGUGCGCAGGCGGUUAUAUAAGACAGAUGUGAAAUCCUCGGGCUCAACCUGGGAACUGCAUUUGUGACUGUAUAGCUAGAGUACGGCAGAGGGGGAUGGAAUUCCGCGUGUAGCAGUGAAAUGCGUAGAUAUGCGGAGGAACACCGAUGGCGAAGGCAAUCCCCUGGGCCUGUACUGACGCUCAUGCACGAAAGCGUGGGGAGCAAACAGGAUUAGAUACCCCGGUAGUCCCUGUCUCUUAUAA
Molecule: ribosomal RNA, 302 nt
Filed under: uncultured bacterium
Lineage: Bacteria
Description: partial 16S ribosomal RNA
Rfam family: Bacterial small subunit ribosomal RNA
Source: RNAcentral